UUCGGUGUGUGUCUCGCUGCUCCGCCGCCGCUGUGCCCGCUAUGCAUAUCCUGUGUGCGCUCUAGCUCCGUCGGGGCCAUGAUGAGUCAGCAACUAACCAUGCAUUAUACAUCACC
Molecule: non-coding RNA, 116 nt
Organism: Angomonas deanei
Lineage: Eukaryota; Euglenozoa; Kinetoplastea; Trypanosomatida; Trypanosomatidae
Source: the annotation of a GenBank genome assembly